CUGGCUCAGGAUGAACGCUGGCGGCGUGCUUAACACAUGCAAGUCGAACGGAAAGGCCACAGCUUGCUGUGGUACUCGAGUGGCGAACGGGUGAGUAACACGUGGGUGAUCUGCCCUGUACUUCGGGAUAAGCUUGGGAAACUGGGUCUAAUACCGGAUAGGAAUCACAUGUGGGUGUGUGGUUGGAAAGCUUUUGCGGUAUGGGAUGAGCUCGCGGCCUAUCAGCUUGUUGGUGGGGUAAUGGCCUACCAAGGCGUCGACGGGUAGCCGGCCUGAGAGGGUGUACGGCCACAUUGGGACUGAGAUACGGCCCAGACUCCUACGGGAGGCAGCAGUGGGGAAUAUUGCACAAUGGGCGCAAGCCUGAUGCAGCGACGCCGCGUGGGGGAUGACGGCCUUCGGGUUGUAAACUCCUUUCGUCAGGGACGAAGCGAAAGUG
Molecule: ribosomal RNA, 439 nt
Filed under: Corynebacterium sp. R-45903
Lineage: Bacteria; Bacillati; Actinomycetota; Actinomycetes; Mycobacteriales; Corynebacteriaceae
Description: bacterial SSU rRNA
Rfam family: Bacterial small subunit ribosomal RNA
Source: RNAcentral